AGAAAAACCCCUAGGGUGACUCUGCAGCUCAGGUGUGUUUUGCCCGUUUCUGACUGGUAGGAGUGCAGGACAGAAGCAAGGCAACGGCACUGAGCUCUGCCCCAAGCUGGAACCAGCCCAGAGGCAGCAGGAAGGUGGAGGAGGAGAUGGAGGAUGAGCAGUGGUCUGCCCAUUACUGUGGGGCUGUGCUCUGCAGCACCCAGCAACGCUCAGAACUGAUGCAUUAAAAACACCUUCAAAAAGCAGCUCUUUAAUGGGAGAGAUGCGCUUGCCGAGAGCUGGCUGCUUUCAGAAACUGCGGUGAGCUUCAAUGCAACAGCACAGCGUGAUUGAAGGAGGGGGAGCAGUGACGAUGGGAUUAGGUA
RNAcentral lists this long non-coding RNA (365 nucleotides) under Gallus gallus (chicken). Its description in RNAcentral is "long non-coding RNA NONGGAT008081". The record is from RNAcentral. Lineage: Eukaryota; Metazoa; Chordata; Aves; Galliformes; Phasianidae.